GGCCGGUCUAUGAAGCCUCCAUCAUCAAGCUAGCAGCCCAUGAAAUCGAAUGCAGAUCUUCCUGAUGUGAGAUUUACAUAAAUAUGUCAAAGUCUCAACCUCAUGCUGCCCUCCCCCAUCCUCCUAAACCUGUGGAUACAAAUGCAGAUUUCCUUAAUGUUCAAUGGUGCGUGUUCUUCUAAUGGCCGCCUUCCCACUGGAGGUUUUGAUCCACAGCAAUUUAAAAGGAGGACAGAGCAAAACGGACAUCGGCGCAGAGCGAAGAACUGCCCUUCAUAAGGACACUAUGACAGCCAUAUAUAGUAAGUGAAGACUUUCUGUGUAUCUAAAAUUGCAUACAGCACAAGUAACUUACUUUGCAACCAUUAAAAUAGGUUGUAAAGUAAGUUACCAAUACAAAUAGGUGAUGAUGCAUUGUAGUGGUUGGUCUCAGACAAAGAAGGUCAACAGAUUUAUGAAUGCUGGAGGGUAAGGAGAGAGGACCAAAAGGGGUGUUAGCAUUACUGUAAUGUGAACUGGAUAGACUUUCCAUCUAGGAAAAAAAAAGAGGU
Long non-coding RNA from Oreochromis niloticus (Nile tilapia), 551 nucleotides. RefSeq lists it as uncharacterized. The record is from RefSeq and is a predicted model, not a curated record. Lineage: Eukaryota; Metazoa; Chordata; Actinopteri; Cichliformes; Cichlidae. The transcript is spliced from 6 exons.